This 1122-nucleotide ribosomal RNA is filed under the name Klebsiella pneumoniae. Its description in RNAcentral is "partial 23S ribosomal RNA". It matches the Rfam family "Bacterial large subunit ribosomal RNA", at positions 398 to 1527 of the family's 2925-position model. Lineage: Bacteria; Pseudomonadati; Pseudomonadota; Gammaproteobacteria; Enterobacterales; Enterobacteriaceae. The record is from RNAcentral. RNAcentral also lists the same sequence under 1 other name.
UGUGAACUCGAAGAGUAGGGCGGGACACGUGGUAUCCUGUCUGAAUAUGGGGGGACCAUCCUCCAAGGCUAAAUACUCCUGACUGACCGAUAGUGAACCAGUACCGUGAGGGAAAGGCGAAAAGAACCCCGGCGAGGGGAGUGAAAAAGAACCUGAAACCGUGUACGUACAAGCAGUGGGAGCACCUUCGGGUGUGACUGCGUACCUUUUGUAUAAUGGGUCAGCGACUUAUAUUCUGUAGCAAGGUUAACCGUAUAGGGGAGCCGCAGGGAAACCGAGUCUUAACUGGGCGUUAAGUUGCAGGGUAUAGACCCGAAACCCGGUGAUCUAGCCAUGGGCAGGUUGAAGGUUGGGUAACACUAACUGGAGGACCGAACCGACUAAUGUUGAAAAAUUAGCGGAUGACUUGUGGCUGGGGGUGAAAGGCCAAUCAAACCGGGAGAUAGCUGGUUCUCCCCGAAAGCUAUUUAGGUAGCGCCUCGUGAAUUCAUCUUCGGGGGUAGAGCACUGUUUCGGCUAGGGGGUCAUCCCGACUUACCAACCCGAUGCAAACUACGAAUACCGAAGAAUGUUAUCACGGGAGACACACGGCGGGUGCUAACGUCCGUCGUGAAGAGGGAAACAACCCAGACCGCCAGCUAAGGUCCCAAAGUCAUGGUUAAGUGGGAAACGAUGUGGGAAGGCACAGACAGCCAGGAUGUUGGCUUAGAAGCAGCCAUCAUUUAAAGAAAGCGUAAUAGCUCACUGGUCGAGUCGGCCUGCGCGGAAGAUGUAACGGGGCUAAACCAUGCACCGAAGCUGCGGCAGCGACACUAUGUGUUGUUGGGUAGGGGAGCGUUCUGUAAGCCUGCGAAGGUGUGCUGUGAGGCAUGCUGGAGGUAUCAGAAGUGCGAAUGCUGACAUAAGUAACGAUAAAGCGGGUGAAAAGCCCGCUCGCCGGAAGACCAAGGGUUCCUGUCCAACGUUAAUCGGGGCAGGGUGAGUCGACCCCUAAGGCGAGGCCGAAAGGCGUAGUCGAUGGGAAACAGGUUAAUAUUCCUGUACUUGGUGUUACUGCGAAGGGGGGACGGAGAAGGCUAUGUUAGCCGGGCGACGGUUGUCCCGGUUUAAGCAUGUAGGCUG